RNAcentral lists this ribosomal RNA (458 nucleotides) under uncultured Bacillota bacterium. RNAcentral's name for it is "bacterial SSU rRNA". It matches the Rfam family "Bacterial small subunit ribosomal RNA", at positions 28 to 507 of the family's 1533-position model. The record is from RNAcentral. Lineage: Bacteria; Bacillati; Bacillota.
GACGAACGCUGGCGGCGUGCUUAAUACAUGCAAGUCGAGCGCGAACAUUCCUUCGGGAAUGUUUGAGCGGCGGACGGGUGAGUAACGCGUGGGCAAUCUGCCCUCUAGCCUGGGAUAACAGUUCGAAAGGACUGCUAACACCGGAUAUUAUGAUUCCGAGGCAUCUUGGGAUUAUGAAAGUUUACACUAGAGGAUGAGCCCGCGUCCCAUUAGCUAGUUGGUGAGGUAACGGCCCACCAAGGCGACGAUGGGUAGCCGACCUGAGAGGGUGAACGGCCACACUGGGACUGAGACACGGCCCAGACUCCUACGGGAGGCAGCAGUAGGGAAUUUUCCGCAAUGGGCGAAAGCCUGACGGAGCAACGCCGCGUGAGGGAUGAAGGUCUUCGGAUCGUAAACCUUUGUCUAGAGGGACGAUAAUGACGGUACCUCUGGAGGAAGCCACGGCUAACUACGUG